RNAcentral lists this transfer RNA (87 nucleotides) under Cordylochernes scorpioides. RNAcentral's name for it is "tRNA-Tyr". Lineage: Eukaryota; Metazoa; Arthropoda; Arachnida; Pseudoscorpiones; Chernetidae. The record is from RNAcentral.
UCCCUCGAGCCGGAUUUGAACCAGCGACCUAAGGAUCACCGUUGUAACAUCUACAGUUCACCGCUCUGCCAACUGAGCUAUCGAGGG